UUGGAGGGCAAGUCUGGUGCCAGCAGCCGCGGUAAUUCCAGCUCCAAUAGCGUAUAUUAAAGUUGUUGCAGUUAAAAAGCUCGUAGUUGAAUUUCGGGAUCAAUAUAUCGGUCGUGCCUUGGUACGUACUGGUAUCAUUGGUUUCUCCUUUCUGACGAACCAUGAUGUCAUUAAUUUGGUGUUAUGGGAAAUCAGGACUGUUACUUUGAAAAAAUUAGAGUGUUUAAAGCAGGCUUUAGCUUGAAUACAUUAGCAUGGAAUAAUGAAAUAGGACGUUUGAUCCUAUUUUGUUGGUUUCUAGGAUUGACGUAAUGAUUAAUAGGGAUAGUUGGGGGCAUUAGUAUUCAAUUGUCAGAGGUGAAAUUCUUGGAUUUAUUGAAGACUAACUACUGCGAAAGCAUUUGCCAAGGAUGUUUUCAUUAAUCAAGAACGAAAGUUAGGGGAUCGAAGACGAUCAGAUACCGUCGUAGUCUUAACCAUAAACUAUGCCGACUAGGGAUCGGAUGAUGUUAAUUUUUUAAUGACUCAUUCGGCGCCUUACGGGAAAC
RNAcentral lists this ribosomal RNA (548 nucleotides) under uncultured Glomeromycotina. RNAcentral describes it as "SSU rRNA". It matches the Rfam family "Eukaryotic small subunit ribosomal RNA", at positions 548 to 1098 of the family's 1831-position model. The record is from RNAcentral. Lineage: Eukaryota; Fungi; Glomeromycota.